GUGUCAGCAGCCGCGGUAAUACAGAGGUGGCAAGCGUUGUUCGGAAUUACUGGGCGUAAAGGGCGCGUAGGCGGCCUGACAAGUCCCGUGUGAAAGCCCCCGGCUCAACUGGGGAACUGCGCGGGAAACUAUCGGGCUUGAGUUCGGGAGAGGGAAGCGGAAUUCCGGGUGUAGCGGUGAAAUGCGUAGAUAUCCGGAGGAACACCGGUGGCGAAGGCGGCUUCCUGGACCGACACUGACGCUGAGGCGCGAAAGCUAGGGGAGCAAACGGGAUUAGAUACCCCGGUAGUCCUAGCUGUAAACGAUGAGUGCUGGGUGUAGGAGGUAUCAACCCCUUCUGUGCCGAAGCUAACGCAUUAAGCACUCCGCCUGGGGAGUACGGUCGCAAGGCUGAA
This 395-nucleotide ribosomal RNA is filed under the name uncultured bacterium. RNAcentral describes it as "bacterial SSU rRNA". It matches the Rfam family "Bacterial small subunit ribosomal RNA", at positions 505 to 898 of the family's 1533-position model. The record is from RNAcentral.